Molecule: unclassified non-coding RNA, 1577 nt
Filed under: Helicoverpa zea (corn earworm)
Lineage: Eukaryota; Metazoa; Arthropoda; Insecta; Lepidoptera; Noctuidae
Description: transforming growth factor beta-1-induced transcript 1 protein, transcript variant X1
Source: RNAcentral
GCAAAAAACUGCUAAAUGAUCCAAUUUCUUCGACAAUAUCGGUACAGAUCGAGGGCCGGAGCGUGCAGUCCGAAUGCACGAUUACGUCAUGUCGCGAUAAGGGGCCGGUGUCUCGACGCGCCGGCAACCGGGCCAGUCAACGCCGACCACCAGCACAGGACACACGUGAACACAGACAUGUCGACCAAAGUAGAAGCCCCCGCUGUUUGCAACAGCUGUAACUCAGUCAUCAAUGGAAGAAUAGUGACAGCACUAAACAAGAAGUGGCAUCCCGAACACUUCACGUGCAACACAUGCCGCAAGCCCAUUGACGGCGCCAAGUUCCACCAGCAUGACGGUGGUGUCCACUGCGUGCCAUGCUUCGCUGCCCAUCACAGUCCCAGGUGCCAUGGGUGUGGCGAGCCUAUCACUGAUCGCGUGAUCCAAGCCCUCGGCGUAUCGUGGCAUGCUCACCACUUCGUGUGCGGUGGCUGCAGGAAGGAGCUCGGAGGUGGUGGUUUUAUGGAACAGGCUGGCAGACCCUACUGCUCAGCGUGCUACGCCGACAAGUUCGCAGCUCGCUGCAAGGGCUGCGGUUCCCCCAUCACGGAUAAGGCCAUCAUCGCCCUCGAUGCUAAGUGGCACCGUGACUGCUUCACUUGCAUGAAAUGCAGAAACCCGGUGACAGACGCCACCUUCUCCGUAAUGGACAACAAACCUCUUUGCGGCAAAUGCGCCUAAACGCACACAUUGACAAUACACACACACAUAUUUAUACACCCAUCGAGUAGCCAGGAGUAUGGUACAUAGCUUAUCUAGUUGUGCUUCUCAAAGAAAAUGCAGAUAUUUAAAGAAUAAUAUUUUUUUAUAAAAAGUAUUUUUUUACAGCAGCCAUUUAAGAUUAAGACCCUUUUCCUUGGACUUUCUGCUAAGAAAUGCUUACAUUUCAUUCUACUAUCAAAAUCACAAUCUUUGAGAACACAAUCUUACUGCUAAAAUAAAUUAUAAUAAAUAACUUAGGUUUUACGAUGUUACAAAGAUUACAAAAGGAUACAGCAGUUAUAUGACAGUAUUUUUUAAGGAAAUAUAAUACAAUUUGUUCGUAAGGAAUAAAGUAUUUUAUUAAGGAAUGCGUGUUUAAAGCCAUAAUGUAUUGCUGAGCAACUUUUAUGAAGAUAAAUGUUGUUCUAGCAUUUACAAAGAAACGUUAUUUUUAGGUUAUGUCGGCCAUUUUGUGUACUAGUAACGCCAUCUAGCAAACACAAAGUAUUCUUCUUGAAGCCUUUAUAUUCACAAAAUUAUGUUUUCAAACACCCAUCUUUUCUUUUCAAUGGCCGAAUAACAAAGUGCACAAAAUAUGACUGCACAAAACUAAGCUACUUUAAUAUAAGUUUUAAACAUUAAUUUAAAUUUUGAGAAUUUGUUGUACAUAAUCGUAUUUAAAUAUUAAAAGUCGCUGUGAUGCUUUUCGGCUUUCGAUUGUAUUUAUUCAAUGAUAUACUUAUUACAUGAUUAAAAUUGUUAAAAUGAGCUAGAUUAUAUUUUGUACGCUUUUCCGGAAUGGUUAUUUUUCCAAUAAAUUAUUUUGUUUUUGAUUA